GGAUUCCCCUAGUAACUGCGAGUGAAGCGGGAAAAGCUCAAAUUUAAAAUCUGGCGGUCUUUGGCCGUCCGAGUUGUAGUCUGGAGAAGUGCUUUCCGCGCUGGACCGUGUAUAAGUCUCUUGGAACAGAGCGUCAUAGAGGGUGAGAAUCCCGUCUUUGACACGGACUACCAGUGCUUUGUGAUGCGCUCUCAAAGAGUCGAGUUGUUUGGGAAUGCAGCUCAAAAUGGGUGGUGAAUUCCAUCUAAAGCUAAAUAUUGGCGAGAGACCGAUAGCGAACAAGUACCGUGAGGGAAAGAUGAAAAGCACUUUGGAAAGAGAGUUAAACAGUACGUGAAAUUGCUGAAAGGGAAACGCUUGAAGUCAGUCGCGUUGUCCGGAACUCAGCCUUGCUUUUGCUUGGUGCACUUUCCGGAUGACGGGUCAGCAUCGAUUUUGACCGUCGGAAAAGGGCUGGAGUAAUGUGGCACCUCCGGGUGUGUUAUAGACUCUGGUCGCAUACGGCGGUUGGGAUCGAGGAACGCAGCGCGCCGCAAGGCAGGGGUUCGCCCACUUUCGCGCUUAGGAUGCUGGCAUAAUGGCUUUAAACGACCCGUCUUGAAACACGGACCAAGGAGUCUAACAUACCUGCGAGUGUUUGGGUGGAAAACCCGAGCGCGUAAUGAAAGUGAAAGUUGAGAUCCCUGUCGUGGGGAGCAUCGACGCCCGGACCAGACGUUCUCUGACGGAUCCGCGGUAGAGCAUGUAUGUUGGGACCCGAAAGAUGGUGAACUAUGCCUGAAUAGGGUGAAGCCAGAGGAAACUCUGGUGGAGGCUCGUAGCGAUUCUGACGUGCAAAUCGAUCGUCAAAUUUGGGUAUAGGGGCGAAAGACUAAUCGAACCAU
RNAcentral lists this ribosomal RNA (884 nucleotides) under Ganoderma gibbosum. RNAcentral's name for it is "LSU rRNA". It matches the Rfam family "Eukaryotic large subunit ribosomal RNA", at positions 72 to 943 of the family's 3401-position model. Lineage: Eukaryota; Fungi; Basidiomycota; Agaricomycetes; Polyporales; Polyporaceae. The record is from RNAcentral.